Molecule: ribosomal RNA, 478 nt
Filed under: Escherichia coli
Lineage: Bacteria; Pseudomonadati; Pseudomonadota; Gammaproteobacteria; Enterobacterales; Enterobacteriaceae
Description: partial 23S ribosomal RNA
Rfam family: Bacterial large subunit ribosomal RNA
Source: RNAcentral
AGGCAUGCUGGAGGUAUCAGAAGUGCGAAUGCUGACAUAAGUAACGAUAAAGCGGGUGAAAAGCCCGCUCGCCGGAAGACCAAGGGUUCCUGUCCAACGUUAAUCGGGGCAGGGUGAGUCGACCCCUAAGGCGAGGCCGAAAGGCGUAGUCGAUGGGAAACAGGUUAAUAUUCCUGUACUUGGUGUUACUGCGAAGGGGGGACGGAGAAGGCUAUGUUGGCCGGGCGACGGUUGUCCCGGUUUAAGCGUGUAGGCUGGUUUUCCAGGCAAAUCCGGAAAAUCAAGGCUGAGGCGUGAUGACGAGGCACUACGGUGCUGAAGCAACAAAUGCCCUGCUUCCAGGAAAAGCCUCUAAGCAUCAGGUAACAUCAAAUCGUACCCCAAACCGACACAGGUGGUCAGGUAGAGAAUACCAAGGCGCUUGAGAGAACUCGGGUGAAGGAACUAGGCAAAAUGGUGCCGUAACUUCGGGAGAAGG